Long non-coding RNA from Neofelis nebulosa (Clouded leopard), 403 nucleotides. RefSeq lists it as uncharacterized. NCBI's taxonomy places the organism in Eukaryota, Metazoa, Chordata, Mammalia, Carnivora, Felidae. The record is from RefSeq and is a predicted model, not a curated record. The transcript has 3 exons.
GCGGGUGGGCCGGCUCGCGCGGAAGGCAGGCAACCUCCCUGUCACGGGCCUGGCUCCUGUGAAAAGGGGGCGCCCGGGCACGGCGACCGGGAACCUGGGCCCACAUCACUUUAACUCUCCUUGCCAAGAAGGGGCCGGUACAGUUGCAGACGCCGAUUUAUGUAGAACUUGGUGGCAUUUUUCUUGGUUGCAUCACUCUAUAUCACUGCGCGGGAGCCAAAUAUGGUAAAAUAGUCAUAAUCUCGAGGUUUGUGAGUUCGAGGCCAGCAUUGGGCCCUGCACGCAGUAUGGAGCCUGCCUGGGAUUCUCUCACCGCCCUUCCCCCGCCACUCGCAGUGUCUCUGUCUCUCUCAAAAUAAAUAAACUUAAAAAUAAAUAAAUAUACAAAUAAUGAAUUAAAAAA